This 259-nucleotide ribosomal RNA is filed under the name uncultured Delftia sp. Its description in RNAcentral is "partial 16S ribosomal RNA". It matches the Rfam family "Bacterial small subunit ribosomal RNA", at positions 355 to 607 of the family's 1533-position model. Lineage: Bacteria; Pseudomonadati; Pseudomonadota; Betaproteobacteria; Burkholderiales; Comamonadaceae. The record is from RNAcentral.
UGGGGAAUUUUGGACAAUGGGCGAAAGCCUGAUCCAGCAAUGCCGCGUGCAGGAUGAAGGCCUUCGGGUUGUAAACUGCUUUUGUACGGAACGAAAAAGCUCCUUCUAAUACAGGGGGCCAUGACAGUACCGUAAGAAUAAGCACCGGCUAACUACGUGCCAGCAGCCGCGGUAAUACGUAGGGUGCGAGCGUUAAUCGGAAUUACUGGGCGUAAAGCGUGCGCAGGCGGUUAUGUAAGACAGAUGUGAAAUCCCGGCU